This 234-nucleotide non-coding RNA is filed under the name Propionispora sp. RNAcentral describes it as "T-box sequence". It matches the Rfam family "T-box leader". From Rfam's summary of the family: Uncharged tRNA acts as the effector for transcription antitermination of genes in the T-box leader family. The record is from RNAcentral. Lineage: Bacteria; Bacillati; Bacillota; Negativicutes; Selenomonadales; Sporomusaceae.
GUAAAUGUAGUGAUUGGGAUAAGUAGGCGUAUUCCACUCCGGCAGAGAGGUAUUGUCAUAGGCUGCGAGCAAUACCGGGAACGGGGCGCUGAAAUGCACCCAUGAACAGGGUGGGCGAAAAAACGUCAGAAUGGCUGUUUCGUAGGCUAUCCCGGAGGCAUCCGUUACCAGGGCGAAGAGUGAGUUAUGCAGAGCAUAGCUAAACAGAGUGGAACCACGGCCACCGUCUCUGUA